CAGUAGCCGCGGGAAUACGUAGGGUGCGAGCGUUAAUCGGAAUUACUGGGCGUAAAGCGUGCGCAGGCGGUUUUGUAAGACAGGCGUGAAAUCCCCGGGCUCAACCUGGGAAUGGCGCUUGUGACUGCAAAGCUAGAGUGCGGCAGAGGGGGAUGGAAUUCCGCGUGUAGCAGUGAAAUGCGUAGAUAUGCGGAGGAACACCGAUGGCGAAGGCGACUACCCGGUCUGGCAUUGACGCUCAUGUGCGAAAGCGUGGGGAGCAAACAGGAUUAGAUACCCCGGUAGUCCCUGUCUCUUAUAC
RNAcentral lists this ribosomal RNA (301 nucleotides) under uncultured bacterium. Its description in RNAcentral is "partial 16S ribosomal RNA". It matches the Rfam family "Bacterial small subunit ribosomal RNA", at positions 509 to 807 of the family's 1533-position model. The record is from RNAcentral.